This 492-nucleotide ribosomal RNA is filed under the name uncultured bacterium. Its description in RNAcentral is "partial 16S ribosomal RNA". It matches the Rfam family "Bacterial small subunit ribosomal RNA", at positions 29 to 507 of the family's 1533-position model. The record is from RNAcentral.
AGUGAACGCUGGCGGUAGGCCUAACACAUGCAAGUCGAACGGCAGCACAGUAAGAGCUUGCUCUUACGGGUGGCGAGUGGCGGACGGGUGAGGAAUACAUCGGAAUCUACUUUUUCGUGGGGGAUAACGUAGGGAAACUUACGCUAAUACCGCAUACGACCUACGGGUGAAAGCAGGGGUUCUUCGGACCUUUCGCGAUUGAAUGAGCCGAUGUCGGAUUGGCUAGUUGGCGGGGUAAAGGCCCACCAAGGCGACGAUCCGUAGCUGGUCUGAGAGGAUGAUCAGCCACACUGGAACUGAGACACGGUCCAGACUCCUACGGGAGGCAGCAGUGGGGAAUAUUGGACAAUGGGCGCAAGCCUGAUGCAGCCAUACCGCGUGGGUGAAGAAGGCCUUCGGGUUGUAAAGCCCUUUUGUUGGGAAAGAAAAGCAGCAGGUUAAUACCCCGCUGUUCUGACGGUACCCAAAGAAUAAGCACCGGCUAACUUCGUG